RNAcentral lists this ribosomal RNA (503 nucleotides) under uncultured bacterium. RNAcentral describes it as "partial 16S ribosomal RNA". It matches the Rfam family "Bacterial small subunit ribosomal RNA", at positions 30 to 523 of the family's 1533-position model. The record is from RNAcentral.
AUUGAACGCUGGCGGCAGGCUUAACACAUGCAAGUCGAGCGGGGUGAUGGUGCUUGCACUAUCACUUAGCGGCGGACGGGUGAGUAAUGCUUAGGAAUCUGACUAUUAGUGGGGGACAACAUCUCGAAAGGGAUGCUAAUACCGCAUACGUCCUACGGGAGAAGGCAGGGGAUCACUUGUGACCUUGCGCUAAUAGAUGAGCCUAAGUCGGAUUAGCUAGUUGGUGGGGUAAAGGCCGACCAAGGCGACGAUCUGUAGCGGGUCUGAGAGGAUGAUCCGCCACACUGGGACUGAGACACGGCCCAGACUCCUACGGGAGGCAGCAGUGGGGAAUAUUGGACAAUGGGGGGAACCCUGAUCCAGCCAUGCCGCGUGUGUGAAGAAGGCCUUAUGGUUGUAAAGCACUUUAAGCGAGGAGGAGGCUCUUUUGGUUAAUACCCAAGAUGAGUGGACGUUACUCGCAGAAUAAGCACCGGCUAACUCUGUGCCAGCAGCCGCAGUAA